UACAUAUCAAUAAGCGGGAGGAAAAGAAACUAACAAGGAUUCCCCUAGUAACUGCGAGUGAAGCGGGAAAAGCUCAAAUUUAAAAUCUGAUGGUCUUUGGCCGUCCGAGUUGUAAUUUAGAGAAGCGUCUUCCGCGCUGGACCGUGCACAAGUCUCCUGGAAUGGAGCGUCAUAGAGGGUGAGAAUCCCGUCUUUGGCACGGACACACCAGGGCUUUUGUGAUGCGCUCUCGAAGAGUCGAGUUGUUUGGGAAUGCAGCUCAAAAUGGGUGGUGAACUCCAUCUAAAGCUAAAUAUUGGCGAGAGACCGAUAGCGAACAAGUACCGUGAGGGAAAGAUGAAAAGCACUUUGGAAAGAGAGUGAAACAGUACGUGAAAUUGUUGAAAGGGAAACGCUUGAAGUCAGUCGCGUCGACCGAGACUCAGCCUUGCCUUGGCUUGGUGUACUUCUCGGCUGACGGGUCAGCAUCAAUUUUGCCCCUUGGAUAAUGGCGAGGGAAAUGUGACACCUUUGCGGUGUGUUAUAGUCCCUCGUCGCAUGCAAGGGUUGGGAUUGAGGAACUCAGCACGCGCCUUUGGGCGUCGGGGCUUUGCCCACGAUACGUGCUUAGGAUGUUGGCGUAAUGGCUUUAAACGACCCGUCUUGAAACACGGACCAAGGAGUCUAACAUGCCUGCGAGUGUUCGGGUGGAAAACCCGUGCGCGCAAUGAAAGUGAAAGUUGGGACCUCUGUCGUGGAGGGCACCGACGCCCGGACCAGACCUUCUGUGACGGCUCUGCGGUAGAGCAUGUAUGUUAGGACCCGAAAGAUGGUGAACUAUGCCUGAAUAGGGUGAAGCCAGAGGAAACUCUGGUGGAGGCUCGUAGCGAUUCUGACGUGCAAAUCGAUCGUCAAAUUUGGGUAUAGGGGCGAAAGACUAAUCGAACCAUCUAGUAGCUGGUCCUGGCGUGUG
RNAcentral lists this ribosomal RNA (952 nucleotides) under Russula paludosa. RNAcentral describes it as "LSU rRNA". It matches the Rfam family "Eukaryotic large subunit ribosomal RNA", at positions 37 to 966 of the family's 3401-position model. Lineage: Eukaryota; Fungi; Basidiomycota; Agaricomycetes; Russulales; Russulaceae. The record is from RNAcentral.